Molecule: non-coding RNA, 392 nt
Organism: Pelobates cultripes (western spadefoot toad)
Lineage: Eukaryota; Metazoa; Chordata; Amphibia; Anura; Pelobatidae
Source: the annotation of a GenBank genome assembly
CACAAUAUGAUGUUUAAUUUCGCCUGGGACUGGAAUCUGAAGACUGUGACUGAUCUGUGUGCUUGAUAGCUGUGAUUUUAGAAUGAACUCUCCUUGAAUAUUGUCUUUGCCAAUCCAUUACAAAGCUUGAGGUUUGUAGGUUUAAUGACACAUGCAAGUUCAUGAGUGUAGGGUAAACUCUUUCUGUGACCACCUUGAAAUGACACAAAUUCCUGCUUCUUGCUGUUACUUUACCCUCAUUCUGGGCUGUGUUAAUAGUUUGACUUGGUAAUCUCAGCACUUCUUCAUCUGUAUAGUAUCCAUUUUCGGGAUAAUAGUUUGACGUGUAAUCCCAGCACCUCUUCAUCUGAAUAGUAAUCAUUUUCAGGAUAAUAGUUUGUCUUGGUAAUCCC